AUGGGUCAUAGGUAUAUGGUCAAUUGACUUUAGAUCAAGUGGGAGUUUGUUGGAUUUGUAUCCUUGAAACCAAUUAUUGGCUGACAUAUUAUAUAAUUCUAGGGCCUAUACUUGUACUUGUAACUUUUUAUUAUCAAUAAAGGGCUUUUUCUUUCUAAUAAUGUUUAUGUGUCCAUGAUUUAUCCUAGAAAUUAACAAA
This 199-nucleotide long non-coding RNA is filed under the name Elaeis guineensis (African oil palm). RNAcentral's name for it is "long non-coding RNA (EGUI_LNC080222)". Lineage: Eukaryota; Viridiplantae; Streptophyta; Magnoliopsida; Arecales; Arecaceae. The record is from RNAcentral.